RNAcentral lists this transfer RNA (58 nucleotides) under Brassica napus (rape). RNAcentral describes it as "tRNA-Ser". Lineage: Eukaryota; Viridiplantae; Streptophyta; Magnoliopsida; Brassicales; Brassicaceae. The record is from RNAcentral. RNAcentral also lists the same sequence under 1 other name.
GGAGAGAUGGCCGAGUGGUUGAAGGCGUAACAUUGGAACUGUUAUGUAGACUUUUGUU